AUUGAACGCUGGCGGCAGGCCUACCACAUGCAAGUCGAACGAGUGGCGGACGGGUGAGUAAUGUCUGGGAAACUGCCCGAUGGAGGGGGAUAACUACUGGAAACGGUAGCUACUACCGCAUACCAUCGGAUGUGCCCAGGGGGGAUUAGCGAGUAGGUGGGGUAACGGCUCACCUAGGCGACGAUCCCUAGCUUGUCUGAGAGGAUGACCAGCAACACUGGACCUGAGACACGGGCCAGAAGCCUACGGGAGGAAGCAGUGGGGAAUAUUGCACAAUGGGCGCAAGACUGAUGCAGCCAUGCCGCGUGUAUGAAGAAGGCCUUCGGGUUGUAAAGUACUUGCAGCGAGGAGGCGUUACUCGCAGAAGAAGCACCGGCUAACUCCGUGCCAGCAGCCGCGGUAAUUC
RNAcentral lists this ribosomal RNA (406 nucleotides) under uncultured bacterium. RNAcentral describes it as "partial 16S ribosomal RNA". It matches the Rfam family "Bacterial small subunit ribosomal RNA", at positions 29 to 526 of the family's 1533-position model. The record is from RNAcentral.